Unclassified non-coding RNA from Chrysemys picta bellii (western painted turtle), 165 nucleotides. Lineage: Eukaryota; Metazoa; Chordata; Testudines; Emydidae. The record is from Ensembl.
UGAAAUUGCUUGGAACGGAAGAGUUGUAUUUAUCCACAGAAGAGAUACAACAUAGCCAGAAGCAGUGCAGGCUUUCCCUAGUCAUGUGCCUUUUCCCUGACUUGCAGGCAUCCCUGUAGGGAUGACAGGUUCCUGGUGACAAUACUGUCUUCUCUGUUGGGUGUA